UUCCAGCGUCUACAAGGGCGAGUUUGUCUGCAUACGAAUUAAUCGUGUCAAAUGAACGAAGAAAGUUUCAUACAAUUCCGCAUUUGGUGUAGUUUGAAGUGUUUAAUUUUUUCUAUUGUUGACCUGAGAUAGUGGUAAUGCAAAGUCUAAACUGUCCUGGUGUUGUGGUAUGACAAUGAAUGUAUUUAUUCCCCAAGAAGAAACAACGUGCAGUGAGUUUCAAGACUAACGUGUUGUUUAUCGAAAACCUUUUCUUACUUGUUAAAAUCAGUGCAUUGACUUUGACUGACGAACUUGUAACAGGACGGAUGUGCCUUUGUUGAAAUGUUUCUCUUGAACGGAAAGUUCGUAUCGAAGCUUGGAGCAUUGGCCGAUGGAGAAACACGUGCAGAGGCGGUUAACUGAGCGGCGUAGCUGAGCGAGCGAUCCGUUCUGUCAGUUCACCCUUUCACGAUGCGCAGACACGUGGUAACUGCAGCCGUCAUCCUCACGAUUGUUCUAGUGCUCCGGGUCGCAGCGCAGCAGAACACGACCCUGCUCUCGGAAGAGGGCGACGACGCGGAGUACCUGGACAAACUCGAAAUGGAGCUG
Non-coding RNA from Zootermopsis nevadensis, 591 nucleotides. NCBI's taxonomy places the organism in Eukaryota, Metazoa, Arthropoda, Insecta, Blattodea, Termopsidae. The record is from RefSeq and is a predicted model, not a curated record.